RNAcentral lists this ribosomal RNA (836 nucleotides) under uncultured bacterium. Its description in RNAcentral is "bacterial SSU rRNA". It matches the Rfam family "Bacterial small subunit ribosomal RNA", at positions 9 to 890 of the family's 1533-position model. The record is from RNAcentral.
GAGUUUGAUCCUGGCUCAGAACGAACGCUGGCGGCAGGCUAACACAUGCAAGUCGAACGCACUCUUCGGAGUGAGUGGCAGACGGGUAAGUAACGCGUGGGAACCUACCUAGUGGUACGGAAUAACUCGGGGAAACCCGUGCUAAUACCGUAUGUGCCCGAGAGGGGAAAGAUUUAUCGCCAUUAGAUGGGCCCGCGUCGGAUUAGCUUGUUGGUGAGGUAACGGCUCACCCAAGGCGACGAUCCGUAGCUGGUCUGAGAGGAUGACCAGUCACACUGGGACUGAGACACCGGCCCAGACUCCUACGGGAGGCAGCAGUGGGGAAUAUUGGACAAUGGGCGCAAGCCUGAUCCAGCCAUGCCGCGUGAGUGACGAAGGCCUUAGGGUUGUAAAGCUCUUUUGGCGGGGACGAUAAUGACGGUACCCGCAGAAUAAGCCCCGGCUAACUUCGUGCCAGCAGCCGCGGUAAUACGAAGGGGGCUAGCGUUGUUCGGAAUUACUGGGCGUAAAGGGCGUGUAGGCGGCCUGGUCAGUCAGAUGUGAAAGCCCACGGCUUAACCGUGGAACUGCAUUUGAAACUGCCCGGCUUGAGUGUGAGAUGGGGUAGCGGAAUUCCCAGUGUAGCGGUGAAAUGCGUAGAUAUUGGGAAGAACACCAGUAGCGAAGGCGGCUACCUGGCUCACAACUGACGCUAAUGCGCGAAAGCGCGGGGAGCAAACAGGAUUAGAUACCCUGGUAGUCCGCGCUGUAAACGAUGGAUACUAGAUGUUGGUCCCUUUUAGGAUCAGUGUCGCAAGCUAACGCAUUAAGUAUCCCGCCUGGGGAGUACGAUCGCA